RNAcentral lists this ribosomal RNA (429 nucleotides) under Pseudomonadota bacterium. Its description in RNAcentral is "Proteobacteria bacterium partial 16S ribosomal RNA". It matches the Rfam family "Bacterial small subunit ribosomal RNA", at positions 355 to 776 of the family's 1533-position model. Lineage: Bacteria; Pseudomonadati; Pseudomonadota. The record is from RNAcentral.
UGGGGAAUAUUGGACAAUGGGCGAAAGCCUGAUCCAGCCAUGCCGCGUGUGUGAAGAAGGUCUUCGGAUUGUAAAGCACUUUAAGUUGGGAGGAAGGGCAGUAAGCGAAUACCUUGCUGUUUUGACGUUACCGACAGAAUAAGCACCGGCUAACUCUGUGCCAGCAGCCGCGGUAAUACAGAGGGUGCAAGCGUUAAUCGGAAUUACUGGGCGUAAAGCGCGCGUAGGUGGUUCGUUAAGUUGAAUGUGAAAGCCCCGGGCUCAACCUGGGAACUGCAUCCAAAACUGGCGUGCUGGAGUAGGGCAGAGGGUGGUGGAAUUUCCUGUGUAGCGGUGAAAUGCGUAGAUAUAGGAAGGAACACCAGUGGCGAAGGCGACCACCUGGGCUCAUACUGACACUGAGGUGCGAAAGCGUGGGGAGCAAACAGG